CACCUCUAGCAUAACUAGUAUUAGAGGCACCGCCUGCCCAGUGACGCAAGUUAAACGGCCGCGGUAUCCUGACCGUGCAAAGGUAGCAUAAUCAUUUGUUCCUUAAUUAGGGACUUGUAUGAAUGGCAUGACGAGGGUUUAACUGUCUCUUACAUUCAAUCAAUGAAAUUGACCUUUCCGUGAAGAGGCGGAAAUAGCAUAAUAAGACGAGAAGACCCUAUGGAGCUUAAAUUAAAAAUUCCAACUUAAUUAACUCAAAAUCUACUAGAUCUAAAAUCAUUAAUCACUGGAAUUAAAAUUUUGGUUGGGGUGACCUCGGAGCACAAAAAAACCUCCGAAGGACAAACAUCAAGACCAACAAGUCUAAAUUAUUAAGUCCAAAUAUUGACCCAGAACUCUAAUUCUGAUCAAUGAACCAAGUUACCCUAGGGAUAACAGCGCAAUCCUGUUAGAGAGUCCAUAUCGGCAACAGGGUUUACGACCUCGAUGUUGGAUCAGGACAUCCCAAUGGUGCAGCAGCUAUUAAAGGUUCGUUUGUUCAACGAUUAAAGUCCU
Molecule: ribosomal RNA, 555 nt
Filed under: Dipodomys phillipsii (Phillips's kangaroo rat)
Lineage: Eukaryota; Metazoa; Chordata; Mammalia; Rodentia; Heteromyidae
Description: partial 16S ribosomal RNA
Rfam family: Bacterial large subunit ribosomal RNA
Source: RNAcentral